GGUGGAUCGCGUAGAAGAGCUCAAUGGCAAAUCCAAAACAAUCGAAGGAAUAUCGUCGGUGAUGGAUGGGGGACACCCCUACUUCUCGAAAGAACCGAGAAAAAAAAAAAGAAAAAUAGAAGAAGAAAGAAGAGAAGAAAGAGUCUAUUACCUCAAGUUCUAUGAGGAAUCAAUGGUGGAUCGUAGAGAAGAGCUCAACGGCAAAUCCAAAACAAUCGAAGGAACAUCGUCGGUGAUAGAUGAGUUCCUUUAACCCACUCCAAUCUGAGAUCUCGCCCCUGCACUUUACUUCAUGUGGCAAAAAAACUCUUGAAAUUGCUCUCCUGAUCGAACACGGAGGACGGGGGACACCCCUAUCUCUCGAAAGAAUAAAGAAAAAGAAAAAAUAAAAGACAGAGGAAGAAAGAAGAGAAGGAAGAGGAACAUCGCCGGCGAUGGAUGGGGUUUUGGAGCAGAGCAGAGUGGAGAAAAAGGUUAAACAACCUUUUAUAGAUCUGGAUCCUAACUCCCGACAGGAGUCUUCCUCCUCCUUUAACCCGCUCCAAUCUGAG
Molecule: long non-coding RNA, 551 nt
Filed under: Elaeis guineensis (African oil palm)
Lineage: Eukaryota; Viridiplantae; Streptophyta; Magnoliopsida; Arecales; Arecaceae
Description: long non-coding RNA (EGUI_LNC001954)
Source: RNAcentral